UUUGACCUCGGAUCAGUAG
This 19-nucleotide ribosomal RNA is filed under the name Alternaria alternata. RNAcentral describes it as "partial 28S ribosomal RNA". The record is from RNAcentral. Lineage: Eukaryota; Fungi; Ascomycota; Dothideomycetes; Pleosporales; Pleosporaceae. RNAcentral also lists the same sequence under 1 other name.